CACUGAUGGAGCUCCUGCACUGGUGGGCAGAUUUUCUACCACUUGAGCCACCUGGGAAGCCCAAACAAGAGUACCAAAGCCAAAAUAAGGAGAAUGGCAGGGAUGCACAGCAUGGAAAGAAUGAAAAUAUACUCAGCCCUUGAUCACCAAGCCAUCUUUGGGAUUGCCUAGGUCUAUUUUCCUUCAUCAUCUCUUAGCCAGAAAGCCAGAAUUAAAGACUCUCUAAGUCUUUCCAGCAGUCAAAAGCAGGUAGGUCAUCUUGGGAGAAGGAAGAGGAGAUAUACAUACAAAUUAGAUA
RNAcentral lists this long non-coding RNA (298 nucleotides) under Bos indicus x Bos taurus (hybrid cattle). RNAcentral's name for it is "lncRNA (ENSBIXG00005030211.1)". The record is from RNAcentral. Lineage: Eukaryota; Metazoa; Chordata; Mammalia; Artiodactyla; Bovidae.